CGGCGAUCCUCCGCCGCCGACGCCGCCACGGAAAGGUUUGAUCCGAUUUUCCUCUGCAAAACAAAAAAAGAAAAAAAAAAGAAAUCGUUUUCCACGCUUUAUUCUGUUUUAUUUCGCAUUGGUCCAUCUCUUGAGGCGAAUGCGAUGUCUGGUCGUUAGGACUAGGGUUUUGGGAUAUUUUAUUCUUUUCAAGAACCGAUUUUUGGAAAAUCCUGUGGACUAUAAUUUUUUUGGAAAUUUUUUUUGGUUUUUUCUCCUUUUGGGGGUCAAAGAACUGCAAUUUGUUUGUUGCUGGAUCGUCUGCUUUUCCGAUCUAUUUAUCUAUUUAUCACGAAAUGCUAAUGUUUAAGAUGGGGUUGGAAUGGUGGGGUAUGGAUGGUUUUCUCAUUGCCAUUGGUGAGCAAUCGGACAAAAAUGGAUCUUUAAUUUGUACACAUUUCAGGGAAGAUUCAAAAUAUAGGCGCCUGAUAGGUUGGGAGUUUUCUGUCAGAUGCUUUGCAACUAGGGUU
RNAcentral lists this long non-coding RNA (509 nucleotides) under Phoenix dactylifera (date palm). RNAcentral describes it as "long non-coding RNA (PDAC_LNC022751)". Lineage: Eukaryota; Viridiplantae; Streptophyta; Magnoliopsida; Arecales; Arecaceae. The record is from RNAcentral.